Molecule: long non-coding RNA, 1399 nt
Filed under: Fukomys damarensis (Damara mole-rat)
Lineage: Eukaryota; Metazoa; Chordata; Mammalia; Rodentia; Bathyergidae
Description: lncRNA (ENSFDAG00000022705.1)
Source: RNAcentral
AGCGGCUCAGCCAAAGCGGAGGAGCGGCGUCAGCGGCGUCUCGCCCUCGAGAAGCAGCCUUGCAGGUUGGGAUGGAGAAAGGCCGGGACUUGGGAGUCAGGACGAGGUUGUCUCCUAGCGUGUGGAGAUUGUACUCUCCUCGCCCCGAGCACUCCGCUUCCGCUCCGCCUCCCGGCCCGGCACUUCCCCCACUCCGGGGCUGGCGGCCGAGGCGCGCGGCAUUGUGGGGGAUGUAGUUCCAGCAGAAGGAAGUGGCGGCACGUGCUCCAAGCUGCCAGACUCCAACUCCUUAACUGCGCGACGCCGUUGCCUGGCAACCGUAGGACAACUGGCUCCUCCCUCCAGCUCAAAGGAGAAGCUGGGAGAAGCUAUCUCCGCCCUAACUCUCUGCAGGCGCUGAAAGAGUUUACCUUGACUCAACUUCCGGGAAGAUGGUGGAGUGGUAAACAGCUGAGAAACAGCCUCUCUGAGAUUUGACGUCCAGACACUGGACUACAGCAAUGUGAGCAAGAGAAAAAGGAAAGAACUGUGUCCCCAGGACCCAGCAAAGAUCUGAAGCAAGAAUUGAAGCUCACUGAGAGAGCAAGACAGACACCCCAAUGCAGAAGAAGGAAGUAGCAAGGGUGCUUUCUCCCUGAGUCCUGAAUCACUGUGUGGGUGGGGAAGCGCUAUCCUGCAGACACAGUGUGACUACUGGUCACAGACUCCAUGGAGAAAGAUACUAGUGGAAUGGAGUAGUGGAUGCAGUGUGCUGCAGUGGCUGGUGAGGUAUUCAGGUUCAGAUGUCCCCCAGAAAAGGGUGAUUGACCAGUAGCAUCUUUAAGAGAGGACAACUCAGCUUGGAACUCAGAGCAUCUGCAUGCUGGCUCCAUCAAGUGGCUCCAGAUGUCAGAGUGAGGAAGAAUCAAAUUCAAGUGGGCAGGAGAUCAAGGAGACCAGUUCAAGCCAGCAGAAGGCACAUGGACUGCUGCAGCAACACAGCCAGAAACCUGCCUGAAUUUCAGUAGAACUAAAGGUGGAGGCUUGCUAGGAUUAUCCACUGCCACACCGCAAGUCUACCGCUGGUUUACUGGGAUUAAUCAACACAGAUCUGGGCUCUGUCUACCUGAUUUAUCUAUCAAUGUGAGUAGCAACAUGCCAUGAAAUAGACAUUCUUUCUUUCUUUUUUUCUUUUCUUUUUUUUCUUGUUUUUCUUUUGUUUUCUUUUUCCUUGUUCUCAUUUUUAUGAGUGUGAACAUUGUUUUUAGUUUUCUUUUUGUUGUUGUUGUUCUAUUCUGUUCUUCUUUUUAUUUCUACCUUAUUCCUUUCCCUCUUCAUCAAUUUCCCAAAGUUCAUGUAAUCAUCCUGUGUCCCCAGUCUUACUUCUAAUCUCUUAUUCUUCUAUUUUUCUAUUUUCCCC